Long non-coding RNA from Harpia harpyja (harpy eagle), 547 nucleotides. RefSeq lists it as uncharacterized. The transcript has 4 exons. The record is from RefSeq and is a predicted model, not a curated record. NCBI's taxonomy places the organism in Eukaryota, Metazoa, Chordata, Aves, Accipitriformes, Accipitridae.
GAUGCUCUUGCUGUGAGUGGAAUGUGCUCCAGCGUGCUGUGCUCCACUCACUGAGAAAAUGAAAGAUUCGGAGAGACCACAGAUUAAUGAUCUCCAGUUGGCCGGUUUCACUUGUGUAAGUAACAGCAGGGCCCCCUGCUUGUUUGGUGUAGAAGAUAGCUGGAGAAGAAAGCAGAACUAUGGCUGGAAAAUGAACUGAAACUCCUGCUAAUUACCAAAACAUAUGAGAGUCCCUGUGUACCAUGAAGACUGUGACUUUAAGAUGUGAACAACGACCAGAACUUAUGUUUUCUGAAAUGAUAAAAUGAAGCCAGCAACACUGAAAAUAUGGGAAAAAAAAUGCAAUUAUGCCAUCCACCACUGAUCUUAUACAAACAGUGUGAGAGUCAGUGCCUACAGGACCACUCUGAGCAGUCACAGUGAAUCCGUACAGCUAGUCGUGCCCAUUUCUGUGGAUUGUUCCUUGUCAUUGUAGCCCUGGAAUCACAGGUAUGACUGCCAGGCUGAAUCCUCCUCUGAAACGUCCUUUGUCGGGAAGGUGCAAAGC